CCGGGACCAUCCGGUAAGGCUAAAUACUCCCGAGAGACCGAUAGCGAACCAGUACCGUGAGGGAAAGGUGAAAAGCACUUCGAACAGAAGAGUGAAAUAGUUCCUGAAACCGUGCGCCUACAAGCGGUCGGAGCUCGUUAAUGAGUGACGGCGUGCCUUUUGCAUAAUGAACCUACGAGUUGCCUUUGCCGGCAAGGUUAAGUGUGACGACACACGUAUCCGAAGCGAAAGCGAGUCUGAAUAGGGCGUAUAGUCGGCAGUGGCAGACGCGAAACCAAGUGAUCUACCCUUGGCCAGGUUGAAGGCUGGGUAACACCAGCUGGAGGACCGCACCAAUAAGCGUUGAAAAGCUUCUGGAUGAGCUGAGGGUAGGGGUGAAAGGCUAAUCAAACUUGGAGAUAGCUCGUACUCCCCGAAAUGCAUUUAGGUGCAGCCUUGCGGGUUACUGAUGUGAGGUAGAGCGACUGAUAAGAUGCGAGGGCUUCACCGCCUAUCAAGUCUUGACAAACUCCGAAUGCGCAUCAGUUCUACCGCAGGAGUGAGGGCAUGGGUGCUAAGGUCCGUGCCCGAGAGGAGAAGAAUCCGGACCACCUGCUAAGGUCCCGAAAUGACAGCUAAGUUAAACUAACGAAGUCUGACUGCUAAGACAGCUAGGAUGUUGGCUUGGAAGCAGCCAUUCAUUUAAAGAGUGCGUAACAGCUCACUAGUCGAGGAGUCGGGCGUGGAUAAUAAUCGGGUAUCAAGUUGUCUACCGAAGCAGUGGGAUCAUUGAUAUGAUCGGUAGGGGAGCAUUCCAGUCAGCGUCGAAGGCGUACCGUGAGGUAUUCUGGAGCGUCUGGAAAAGCAAAUGUAGGUAUAAGUAACGAUAAAGGGGGCGGGAAACCCCCUCGCCGAAAGACUAAGGUUUCCUGAUCAACGCUAAUCGGAUCAGGGUCAGUCGGGUCCUAAGGCUCAGCCGAACGGCGAUGCCGAUGGCAGAAACGGUUAAUAUUCCGUUACUACCUUCAGGAGUGACGUGGAGACGCAGUAGUGACAGUGCCGCCAUCUGACGGAAUAGAUGGUUGAAGGGUGUAGGAGUCGAUCAUGGCAGGCAAAUCCACCAUGAGAUCCGAACCUGAUAGUAUGCCGCGUCCUUCGGGACAAGGCAAUAGUGCGCGUAAGCAUGCUGCCGAGAAAAUCCGCUAAACUUAAUCCUGGAGGUACCCGUACCGCAAACGGACACACGUAGUCGGGAUGAAUAUUCUAAGGCGCUUGAGUGAUUCACGGUUAAGGAACUAGGCAAACUGACCCUGUAACUUCGGGAUAAAGGGUCCCUACCCUUUUAUGGGAGGGCGCAGAGAAUCGGUCCAGGCAACUGUUUAACAAAAACACAGGGCUGUGCCAAAUCGAAAGAUCCAGUAUACAGCCUGACACCUGCCCGGUGCUGGAAGGUUAAGAGGAGAUGUCAUCGAUAAGAGAAGCGUUGAAUUGAAGCCCCAGUAAACGGCGGCCGUAACUAUAACGGUCCUAAGGUAGCGAAAUUCCUUGUCGGGUAAGUUCCGACCUGCACGAAUGGUGUAAUGAUCUGGACGCUGUCUCAACCGUGAGCUCAGUGAAAUUGUAGUAUCGGUGAAGAUGCCGAUUACCCGCGAUGGGACGAAAAGACCCCGUGAACCUUUACUAUAGCUUAUCAUUGAAUCUGGGCACGUGAUGUGUAGGAUAGGUCGGAGGCUUUGAAGCAGGUACGCCAGUAUUUGUGGAGCCGCUGUUGAAAUACGACCCUUUAUUUGUUUGGAUUCUAACCCGUGGAACGGGGACAUUGAUUGGUGGGUAGUUUGACUGGGGUGGUCGCCUCCAAAAGCGUAACGGAGGCUUCUAAAGGUGCCCUCCGGCCGAUUGGUAACCGGCCUUAGAGUGUAAUGGCAUAAGGGCGCUUGACUGGGAGACUGACAAGUCGAUCAGGUAGGAAACUAGAGCAUAGUGAUCCGGUGUUUCC
This 1975-nucleotide ribosomal RNA is filed under the name human gut metagenome. RNAcentral describes it as "bacterial LSU rRNA". It matches the Rfam family "Bacterial large subunit ribosomal RNA", at positions 447 to 2430 of the family's 2925-position model. The record is from RNAcentral.